GCGGGAUAGCUCAGCCGGUUAGAGCAGCGGAAUCAUAAUCCGCGUGUCGGGGGUUCAAGUCCCUCUCCCG
RNAcentral lists this transfer RNA (70 nucleotides) under Candidatus Enterousia excrementavium. It matches the Rfam family "tRNA". From Rfam's summary of the family: Transfer RNA (tRNA) molecules are approximately 80 nucleotides in length. The record is from RNAcentral. Lineage: Bacteria; Pseudomonadati; Pseudomonadota; Alphaproteobacteria.